Molecule: long non-coding RNA, 7448 nt
Filed under: Cricetulus griseus (Chinese hamster)
Lineage: Eukaryota; Metazoa; Chordata; Mammalia; Rodentia; Cricetidae
Description: lncRNA (ENSCGRG00015041679.1)
Source: RNAcentral
AUUCUGGGGAAGGUAGGCAGAAAAGCACCGGAAAGAGUCACCAUGUAAACAGCAAAGAAGUAGCAGGUCCAGGCAUUCUCCGAGGGGACCAGGCCGACUCCUUCAAAUCUCGUAAGAAGACAGAACAACAGAGUAGAACAAUAAGGAGACGGUGAGAGUUACCAACCACGACUCAGGUGUCAGGAUGCCACAGCAGACAGAUUUGGCAUGGAUCAAGUAAGAAAUGAGUGACAGCGUUAGUGGACUCAGGAGAGCACUGUUGUCCGCGAUAAGACUUUGUCCGUUUCCUAGUCAUGAAAGCAGCCAUUGAGACAUUCUUAUAGUAACAUCUAGACAAAGGAUCUGAAAGCCCAGAGGAAACAGAAAUGUGCACGUAUCCUUUCCCUCCACUUUCAUCUCAGGACACAAGCCGGGGAGUGAAAAGGCUGCAGGUAUUCACCAUUGUCCCCAGGCGAGGUCACAGAAGGAUGAGUCAGAGUGGCUUCUGUUACCCAGACAGGAAAGCGCGUGAGAGCCAACAGCCACCCAGCCCUGCUCAGCAGAGAGUCUUACUCCCAGGGAAAUGUGGGACCAGGCUGCAAAGUUGGGAAGGGCUGGCAGCAUGCUCUGACCCUGAACUUCACAGGGACAGAGUCUCCUAAUUAGCUGUAGCAAUAACCGAGAACUCCAGGCAAGCAGGUGAAGCCAUUGUGGACUAGAGAAUUCCCUUGUUUAGAAGCCGCAGACCCACCAGCUUGCUGUCUGUACCUGCAGUAAAAAGCAGAAACACUGUGGUCAAGAUGUCGCUUGCUUUCCCCUUCCCACAGUCCUGGGAAAAACCAGGACCCUGGGAGGUUUAUUUAAGCAAUACCUCUUUAAUUCCUUGAUCAGCAUCUAUUGCUCAUUUUCCUGGUCACUGCAACUCAAUUUUCUUUUCCUACCCUUUGUGGGACUGUCACAUUGAAAGAUCUUCAUUUCCUUGACCAGGCAGAAGGCACUGAGGUCAAAUAGAGCCAAUCAGAGAUCCCUUUUCUGGGGACAGAACAGAUCCCCUCCUAAUCAUCAAGGCUCUUCUUCAGCCCUUGUGGAGUAAAAUAUUCCAGUUCCUUCCAAAUGAGAAUUUCUGCAGCAUCCCCCACCUAAAAGUUCCCAGGCGUCCUUCUGAUAAAGCUUUCUUUAUUUAUGGAAAGCAGAGUCCUGCUUCUGUUGCUUGUAGCAGAAAAACCCAAAUUUACUAUUAAUCAUCCAGGGCAAAUGAAUAUGCAAAAAUCAAUGGGAAUAAUUAGCAUUGAUUUGACUGUUGCUAGUAAUUACUGGCAUGCCUGUUAUCCUCUUGUUCUUAUAGCAACCCAGCUACUCAGGGGGUUUCACUGACUUACCUGAGCCUAACCUAACCAGGUGCAUACGUUCAAAUGAGUUUUCACCUAAAUCUCCAGGCUCUUGGAUCAGAGCUCUUCUUCCUGUAAUAUCACCUCUCCUACUGAGUCUCUCUCUCUCUCUCUCUCUCUCUCUCUCUCUCUCUCUCUCUCUCUCUCUGCAAGUGAAACUACAGAACAGGAGGCAGGGCUUAUCCACCUGCCUUACAACUUCUCUGAAGGCAGAAAGAAAAGGGUUUUUUUUUUCUAUCUGUAUUUUUCUGGGUCAGAACCCAACUAGAAGUCUAAGCAUAAGGUUUCUUGCAAGUUCUUCUUCUCCUAAGACGUUGCAGCAUGAGCAAUUGAGCAAAGGAAACCAUCUACAUCUACUCGACACUACGGAUAACUACUCUAGGUUCUGAGAUACUGCAAGAACAAAGCAGACAUGGCUUCAACCUUUAUGAAACUUAUAUACCAGCGAAGAAGGUCUGCUAUAGGUAGAUGAAUGAAUAUUAGAAGACAACCAGGCAGUGACAAAGGCCAUGACAGCAAAGCAGAAUAAAGGUCUGGAGGUCAGCUGGGAGGAGCAUGUUAGACAGGCAGGGAAAGCACAUCUUAGCAAACUGGAAUGAGGUAGAGAGCAUACUGGGAAGAGUUUAAAGACUGGACACACUAUAGGGACUUCAAGUAUACCCAAGGAACAACCAGAGGCCAGAGCUGGCUGAGGAAUGCUGUGGCCACCAAGAAAAGGAUGCAACUCAAAAGAGCCACAGGAAGGACUUCAUGUUUGGUCCCAAGUAUGAUGGAAGAGCUGUGAGAGAAAGGGAGGAGAGGGCAAUGGCAUUUCCUCGUUUUGGAAGUCGUUCUCACUGCUGGAAGUGACCCAAAUGCCCAACAAACAAUGAUCGAAAAAACAAACGCAGUAUGUUCAUACAAUGGAACAUACUGACUUAAAAAAAAAAAAACAAACUACAAUACAAUAAAGCUACAUCCAUUAAAACAGAGUGGCACUGCCUGCCAUACAGAUGUACAUAUAUCCUAAUAAACCUGAUCUGUGGCCAACAGCAGGGAAAAGAGGUCCUCUCAUUAAAGAAGAUCAUGAAAUGAGCAUUCCAGGAGCCCACAUGAUGGAAGUGAAGUACCAAUUCCCACAAGUUGUGUGUGUGACUUCCACGUGUGUGCCGUGGCAUGCACAUACCUACAUACAGGCAUACACACACACACACACACACACACACACACACACACACACACACACAGAGCGAGUGCCAGGAUAGGAUCCAAAGCUACACAGAGAAACCCUGUCUCUAAAAACAAACAAACAAACAAAAAAACAAAAACAAAAAAAUAAUUUUUUAACAAGAAGAAUGUGUAAAAAUUGGAAACCCUAUGUAUUGUAGGAGGGGUGUAAAAUUAUGCAGGGCAAUGAAAAACAGUACGCUGAUUUAUCAGCAGAUUAUUUUUUAAAAAUUACCCAGGCACGCAAUGGUUCUCCUUCUGAUCUACACAAAAUUGAAAGCACCAUCCUUAAGAGAUUCACAUGUCCUGAUGACAACAGCACGACUCACAAUGGCCAAAUGGAAGGAGUGCCCAAUUGCUCAUCAACAGAAGGCUUGGUAAACAAUAUGUGGCUGCAAAGUUAGGUAUUAUUCGGUUUUCAAAAUAAAUUCUGAGAUAUGUUGCAACAUGGGGAAAACUAGAUGACAUCAUGCUAAGAGGCAGAGAUCAGUCACUAAAGACAGCUAUGUGGUUGUACUUCUGUGAGAUGCUGACAGUCCUCAACCUCAUAGAAACGAAAGCAGAGGGUGGUUUUCAGGGCUGCAGGGUAGCUCAUGGGGUGCAAAGUUUCUGUUCUGUAAGGCAGAGUUUCUGUUCUGGCGGCAGAGGGGGCAUCAUUUGCACGAGUCUGAAUUCUCUUAAUGUCACAAUUAUAUACCGAAUAUGGAAAGUUUCAUGUUAUGGGUAUCUCCCCACAAUAAAAUCUUGAUAAAGAAGUGAUAUAUAAUAAUUGCCACAGUAAGGAUGAGCCUCUAAAGCAUUCUGUUAAGCAAAUAAAAAAGCAAGACACACAUGAAAAUAUUUUUACUUUACUUGCAUGAUAUAAUCAGAAUAGGAAAACCCAUAGAGACAGAAAGUAACUAGCUCCAUGGUGCCUGGGCUGGGAGGAGGGAUAAGAGAGGAAUAACUACCUAGCGUUUGUGAGGCUUCCUUCAGGAACAGUGAAAGAGUUCUUAAGAACCAGUGAUGAUUUCACAGUACUGGACUUGUCCUAAAUAUCACUGAUUGUCCACUUUGAAACUGUUAUACUUGUAGAGCUUAUGUUUACAAGGCCCAAAUACUAAAGACAAAUACACUAUUUCAUAAAACCAGAAGAUUCCUCCAGGUGGUGCAUGCAGAGAGGGGAUAGAGAAUCAACACAAGGCCCAUCUUCCUUCCCUAACGCCCAUGGAAAAUAUCCAGUCACCGUUAGCUGUUUAUCGAUGUUAGUAUUUAACCCAUGUGUGUCUUCUGUGGCUCAUUAUCGCAGCUGGUGACAGCAGAGCUUAUCCUUUCUCAGUCCAGAAGGCCGAAAGGUGAGCUCAAUGGUCACUAGAGCAGUUCUCCGAAGUCUCCCUUUCCCCUAGUUUAGGGAUCCAAGCAGCCCGCCCUCAUGAUAUAAUCACCCUCUCAAAGGCUGCACCUCUUAGUCCCUUCAGUUAGAGAAUUGGGAUUACAACAUACGAAGAUUUGAGUGGUGUAAACUCAGCCCUCAAGAAACUGAGGCAGGAGUUCAAGACCAGCCUGGGCUCCAUAGCAAGACUCUGGGAGCACAAGCAUUCAGACAACAACACAUGUCUUCUCUGCUUAUUAGCUAGAUUUUUUCUAUAAAUGCAUCUCUUUUCUUCCUCAAUAUACCUUUUGGGGUUACUUAAAAAUGCAGUUCAUUCAGGUAUGACCGCAUAUAUGCUCAGUGUUUCCUUGCGACUUUAUCCUUUUAGUUCAUGAUUCUAUUGAGAAGGUACACAUGAUUUCAAUUUUUAAAAAGAAGCAGAAAAUAAAAAUAAAACUUAAGAGAGGUCUAUAGAGAUGCUACCAGUUGCGCUCAUUCCUGGCUUAGCAAGCUCUGGGUUUGUAGUGACAAGAUAUACCCUUCAGGCCAAGCGUUGGUGGUGCACGCCUUUAAUCCCAGCACUCGGGAGUCAGAGGCAGGCGGAUCUCUGUGAGUUUGAGGCCAGCCUGGUCUACAGAGCGAGUGCCAGUAUAGGCUCCAAAGCUACACAGAGAAACCCUGUCUUGAAAAACUAUAUAUAUAUAUAUAUAUAUAUAUAUAUAUAUAUAUAUAUAUCCUUCAAUGUAAAACCUGUCCUGAUUGAAAUUAUUUUACAAGGCAUGUGACAAUUCCUCUUUUAAAAAGUGAUAAAUCUCUGUUUGCUAUGGCUGUGAUUUAAAUUAAUAUUCUGACAAAAGCAAAUGAAGAGAGAAAGAGUGCAUUUGGCUCACAAUUCCCAGUGACACCCUCGUAGGGAGUCAAGGCCGUGGGAAUGUGACGCAGCUAGUCACGUUGACAUCCACAGUCAAGGGCAGAGAGCCAUAAAUGCAUGAACACCAGUGCCCAUCUCUUCUUCCCGCUUUACACAGUAUAGGAUCUCCCUGCCCAGGAAAUGGCCCACCCACAAUUAAGAUGGCUCUUCCUGCUAAUGCAAUCAGGAUAAUCCCUCAGAGACAUCCUCAAAGGUCCUUCUCCCGGGUGAUCCUAUAUGCUAUCAGGUAGACAAUUAAAACUAACCACCACAGUCUGGAGCACUGGAAAAUUAGACCACGCCCCAGGGCAAGGGAGUUCCAGGAAUCCCUCCAAGAGUGGAGAGAAUGUAUCUGUUGGCUUUGGUUUUGUUUUAUGGUGUAGGCGGAGAGACCAGGGAUUCCUCAAGCCUAAGGUGUUUCCACUGACAGGAGCUCAUCCCUGGGAAAUCAGCUCCACCCAGAUGGACAAGUGCCAGGCUGAGAUGUUCUGCUUUGUUUGUUUGUUAUUGCUGUGUGGUGCAACGAUGAAUACUUGGAGACUGCUUGUUAUUACUUUAACUGUCCAUUGCCUUCAAGUCCAAGCAUCGCCCUCGCCAAAAAAGACAAAAAAAUAAAUAAAAAAUAAAAAAAAAAAACACCUACACAAUUCUUCCACCCAGUGCUGGCCAAGCUGGCGGAUUCAGAACCUAUUAUACCCAUAGAACAUCACUCCCCUAGAUGCCUUAGUGGGUUCAAGGCCAGUUGCUGAGCCAACAAGGUGGGUACCAGUCCAAGUCAACGGCAAAACCUUGACACCUAGCUCCAUCCAGUCAAAGAUGGCUUCUGAAAGAGGCGUAAGUUAAGCAGUAAGGCAGAUAUGGACUCCAAUGUGCAGUCUGAAUCAACCAGUUGUGUGAUCCUGGGAAAGUUCCCUCUCUUGCUCACUGACCCUCAGUCACCCCAUCUCAAAAUGUAAAUGAUAGUUAAAAACACCUCCCUCACAGAUGGCUCAGAGAUGUCAAAUAAACUAUGAUGUAAAGUUCUUAGCUCUGUGCUGGCACCCAGCAAGGCUCAACUGCUAUUAAGAAGAGCAUUCAAGUGUUGUUGGCAACACGCAAGGGCUUUGUACUGGUUCCAGUGGAUAAUGAUGCAAGGGGCGGGCAUGUGGGCGUCUGGGAAAGCUUUGAGGAGACUGUGGCGCCUGGAUAGUCUUGGAAAAUGAGAUGUCUGCCAGGCAGGGAAGGGCAUUAAGAGGGUGAUGGAAUAUCCGAGUGCCAGGAGUGUGUGGCAUGGGACAGAGCAGUUGGACAGAAUGGAUGUGGCAUAGCAGUCAAGAGAUGGUGAAAACUAGGUAGAGUCCGACCCAACAUCUUUAGUGCAAUUCCAGGGAGCUCAGACUUUACUCAAAUGGGCAUAAAGAAACACCAAGGACAAAUUGGGCUAUUAGAUGCUAAUCUUAGAUAGGUUCUGUGGCCUACAGGUUGGAAGAUGAGCCGGGAUUGAGAAGACAUCCAUAGAGCCCCAGGAAGGACAAGAAAGACCUCCAGACGUCUAUGGUUAUCUAGUAGCAAGCUCUGCCCUCUGAUCUUCAGACAAGCUUUAUUUGUACAAGCAAGAUAUCACCACAGUGCUUUGUUUGCCAUAGAAAAGACUUUUGUCCCUUCUCCCUUUCUCUACCACCUUCUCUCUUCUCCCCAUGCUUUCUGCUCCACCAACCCCUCGUCCCUCCUCUCAUAAUCCAGUUCUGUGGGAACUUGAUCCAGUACCACAUUUCAGGGCUCUGGCCCAAGAAAGAGGAAGAAAAGAAGAUGAGAGAUCAGAUGUCCCUUCGGGUACCAGAAUGAGCUCCAUGGGCAAAUUCAACAAGGAUCUUGGGAUGAGACUUCCUCUCUCUGCCCAUCACUUUGGAUCUUACUUUGCAAGCCUGCUCUAUAGCCAAAGAGCUGACAGCUGCUGAGUUGCUAUCUUCAGUCAUGAAUAGCAACAGAGCAGGAAGGUGACCUACUGCAGGUCACAGAUUGGGUGGACUCUAGGAACAUGGGACCACUGAGGUGGUUUAAAAGAAAAUUGCCCCCAAAAGGAGUGGCACUCUUAGGGAUUGUGGCCUUCUUAGAGGAAGUGCAGCACUGUGGAGGCGGGCUUUGAAGUCUCUUUUGCUCAAGCUUCCCUCAGUGUGACAGCCAGUCAACUUCCUGCUGCUUGCAAGAUGUAGGACACGCAACUAUUUCUCCUGCACCAUGCCUGCCUGCACCAUUCCUGCCAUGAUGAUAAUGGGUUGAACUUAUGAACUGUGAGGCACCACAAUUAAAUGUUUUCUUUAUAAGAUGUGCCAUGGUCAUAGUGUCUUUUCCCAGCAAUAAAAUCCCUAACUAAGAGAACCACAUAAGACGAUCCAUAGAUUCAUGGUGUUCAGAGCAUGGUUUCUGUACUCAAAUGACCAACACAAGUACACUCACCUGAAAGAGUUGUGUUCAGAGUCCUGCGGGGCAAUGAUCUUAAGAACUAAGGUGCUAGCCACACAUGGUAGAAGAGGCCUGGAAUACCAGCACUAAGGAGGCUGAAGUGAAUAGUCACAAGUUCAAGGCCAGCCUUACUACAUAGAUUGAUUUGACUUGAAACAAAUCAAUACAAAAG